UGGGCUGUGGCUCAGUGGUCGAGCACCCGCCUAGCAUGCGUGAGGCACUGGGUUUGAUCCCAGCACCACAU
RNAcentral lists this transfer RNA (71 nucleotides) under Marmota monax (woodchuck). It matches the Rfam family "tRNA". Rfam says of the family: Transfer RNA (tRNA) molecules are approximately 80 nucleotides in length. Lineage: Eukaryota; Metazoa; Chordata; Mammalia; Rodentia; Sciuridae. The record is from Rfam by way of RNAcentral.